GUGCGAGCAGAAGGGGAGUAGCUCUCCGCCGGACCGUCGACAUACUGCUGGAACGCUCCAGCCGGCGCCCGGAGCCACGCCGUCCACCGGCCUGGCCAGCGAGACCUUCGGCCGCAGU
RNAcentral lists this unclassified non-coding RNA (118 nucleotides) under Streptantibioticus cattleyicolor NRRL 8057 = DSM 46488. RNAcentral describes it as "Streptomyces cattleya NRRL 8057 = DSM 46488 yybP-ykoY". The record is from RNAcentral. Lineage: Bacteria; Bacillati; Actinomycetota; Actinomycetes; Kitasatosporales; Streptomycetaceae.